GGAGGGUGCGAGCGUUAAUCGGAAUUACUGGGCGUAAAGCGCGCGCAGGCGGCUGGGUCAGUCGGAUGUGAAAGCCCCGGGGCUUAACCUGGGAAUUGCAUUCGAUACUGCCCGGCUAGAGUAUGGGAGAGGGAAGUGGAAUUUCCGGUGUAGCGGUGAAAUGCGUAGAUAUCGGAAGGAACACCAGUGGCGAAGGCGGCUUCCUGGCCCAAUACUGACGCUCAGGUGCGAAAGCGUGGGGAGCGAACAGGAUUAGAUACCCUGGUAGUCCACGCUGUAAACGAUGAGAACUAGAUGUUGGGAGGGUUAGCCUCUCAGUGUCGCAGCUAACGCGUUAAGUUCUCCGCCUGGGGAGUACGACCGCAAAGGUUG
Molecule: ribosomal RNA, 372 nt
Filed under: uncultured organism
Description: partial 16S ribosomal RNA
Rfam family: Bacterial small subunit ribosomal RNA
Source: RNAcentral